GGCCGGGUGGUCUAGUGGUCAGGAGGUUAGCCGCUUAAGCUGAAGACGCGGGUACGAUUCCCGCCUCGGUCA
Molecule: non-coding RNA, 72 nt
Organism: Cydia splendana
Lineage: Eukaryota; Metazoa; Arthropoda; Insecta; Lepidoptera; Tortricidae
Source: the annotation of a RefSeq genome assembly